This 484-nucleotide ribosomal RNA is filed under the name uncultured bacterium. RNAcentral describes it as "partial 16S ribosomal RNA". It matches the Rfam family "Bacterial small subunit ribosomal RNA", at positions 31 to 507 of the family's 1533-position model. The record is from RNAcentral.
AUAGAACGCUAGCGGGAUGCUUUACACAUGCAAGUCGAACGGCAGCGCGGACUUCGGUCUGGCGGCGAGUGGCGAACGGGUGAGUAAUGUAUCGGAACGUGCCCAGUAGCGGGGGAUAACUACGCGAAAGCGUAGCUAAUACCGCAUACGCCCUACGGGGGAAAGCAGGGGAUCGUAAGACCUUGCACUAUUGGAGCGGCCGAUAUCGGAUUAGCUAGUUGGUGAGGUAACGGCUCACCAAGGCGACGAUCCGUAGCUGGUUUGAGAGGACGACCAGCCACACUGGGACUGAGACACGGCCCAGACUCCUACGGGAGGCAGCAGUGGGGAAUUUUGGACAAUGGGGGCAACCCUGAUCCAGCCAUCCCGCGUGUGCGAUGAAGGCCUUCGGGUUGUAAAGCACUUUUGGCAGGAAAGAAACGUCGCGGGCUAAUACCCCGUGGAACUGACGGUACCUGCAGAAUAAGCACCGGCUAACUACGUG